CAUCAUCAUAAUCAUACAUAAACUGAAGAGGGGAGAAGGGAUGGAUAGAGGAAAGUGAUAUUUAAUAAUUACAAAGUCAUUUUUAAAUAGUUCAAAUUUCAAUUAUUAGGUCACAGCUAAACAAUUAUGACAAAUAAAAUUAAAUCUGAACCGUCUAUUGCCUAUAGCGAAUCAGCUAUUCGAAAUAAUUUAUCAAUAGUAGAAUAUUGCAGAACUUCUGUAGCUGCUGUAUCUGGUUGCACUGCUGGUGUUUUGGGUCUUACCAGUCUCUAUGGAGCACUGUUCUUUAUUUUUGCAGUGACAAGUUUUUGGUUCAUGUUACUAUGCAAAGCUGGUAUUGAUACUUGGAGGAAGUUUUUCAUUUCUAGAAAGUCCUUACUUUUGAACGGAAUAUUCGGUCACUUCUUCACUUAUAUUUUAUGCUGGACAUUCAUUUAUGGGAUGGUUCAUGUGUAUUAGAAUCAGGGCAUUAAAUAAACCAUAAGUAAUUUUAGGUUAGUUUUUUUAUAAUAGAAAUAAAAAUGGCUACAGAUGAAAGGAAUUUCCGAUCUGCUUAUUAUGAAAAAGUCGGAUUCAGAAGUGUUGAGGAGAAAAAGUCCCUUGAAAUUCUACUGAAAGAAAAACCUCUAGACCGUGGCAAGCUGAAACAGUUCUGUUUGAGGUUCUCUUUACCGGCCACAUAUAGAAGCUUGGUGUGGAAAUUACUUUUAGAUUCCAGAAGAAACUGCAGAUAUUAUCGUAAAUAAAUCCAUUGAAAUGUGGCAACAACAUGGAAGUCUGUUAACCAUUUAUGAUAAACCAAAACCAUAAAUCGCAUUCCUAAAAAUAAAUUACAUUUUCAAUUCAUAUUGUGGCAUAUUUCAUUCUUAAUGAUGUUUAUUAAAAGAAUAAGAAAAAUACAAGUUAAAAUUUU
RNAcentral lists this unclassified non-coding RNA (913 nucleotides) under Leptinotarsa decemlineata (Colorado potato beetle). RNAcentral's name for it is "tBC1 domain family member 7, transcript variant X1". The record is from RNAcentral. Lineage: Eukaryota; Metazoa; Arthropoda; Insecta; Coleoptera; Chrysomelidae.